GGCGCACGGGUGAGUAACGCGUACAUGACCUACCCUGAACAGGGGGAUAGCCCUGGGAAACUGGGAGUAAUACCGCAUGUGCUGAUACGGGUAGAGCUGUGUCAGUAAAGCUGAGGCGGUUCAGGAUGGAUGUGCGUUUGAUUAGGUAGUUGGUAGGGUAACGGCCUACCAAGCCGACGAUCAAUAGGGGGCGUGAGAGCGUGACCCCCCACACGGGUACUGAGACACGGACCCGACUCCUACGGGAGGCAGCAGUAAGGAAUAUUGGACAAUGGAGGGAACUCUGAU
RNAcentral lists this ribosomal RNA (288 nucleotides) under uncultured Bacteroidota bacterium. RNAcentral's name for it is "uncultured Bacteroidetes bacterium partial 16S ribosomal RNA". It matches the Rfam family "Bacterial small subunit ribosomal RNA", at positions 97 to 387 of the family's 1533-position model. The record is from RNAcentral. Lineage: Bacteria; Pseudomonadati; Bacteroidota.